CCUACGGGAGGCAGCAGUGGGGAAUUUUGGACAAUGGGCGCAAGCCUGAUCCAGCAAUGCCGCGUGAGUGAAGAAGGCCUUCGGGUUGUAAAGCUCUUUUGUCAGGGAAGAAACGGUGGUUCCUAAUACGAACUACUAAUGACGGUACCUGAAGAAUAAGCACCGGCUAACUACGUGCCAGCAGCCGCGGUAAUACGUAGGGUGCAAGCGUUAAUCGGAAUUACUGGGCGUAAAGCGUGCGCAGGCGGUUAUAUAAGUCAGAUGUGAAAUCCCCGGGCUCAACCUGGGAACUGCAUUUGAGACUGUAUGGCUAGAGUGUGUCAGAGGGGGGUAGAAUUCCACGUGUAGCAGUGAAAUGCGUAGAUAUGUGGAGGAAUACCGAUGGCGAAGGCAGCCCCCUGGGAUAACACUGACGCUCAUGCACGAAAGCGUGGGGAGCAAACAGGAUUAGAUACCCUGGUAGUCCACGCCCUAAACGAUGUCUACUAGUUGUCGGGACUUAAUUGUCUUGGUAACGCAGCUAACGCGUGAAGUAGACCGCCUGGGGAGUACGGUCGCAAGAUUAAAACNCAAAUGAAAUUGACG
RNAcentral lists this ribosomal RNA (585 nucleotides) under uncultured bacterium. Its description in RNAcentral is "bacterial SSU rRNA". It matches the Rfam family "Bacterial small subunit ribosomal RNA", at positions 338 to 915 of the family's 1533-position model. The record is from RNAcentral.